This is a long non-coding RNA of Saccostrea cuccullata (small rock oyster), 898 nucleotides long. RefSeq lists it as uncharacterized. The transcript is spliced from 3 exons. Lineage: Eukaryota; Metazoa; Mollusca; Bivalvia; Ostreida; Ostreidae. The record is from RefSeq and is a predicted model, not a curated record.
CGAUGCGCAAUCGGUGUACACGGUUUAUUCUGUGGAUUUUGUUACCCCUUCCUUGUUUUGGGAGUGUUUCUUAGGGUUUGACCUGUGGACAUCUUUGUUAACAGGUACGGGGUUGGACUGGCCUGGUUGCGUGGAAGAAGAGCAGACCGUCACCAGUAGCAGCAGUUCUGUGAUGCACUGCGGUCAAUCCCUGACGUGCAGAAGUGGAGAUGUAUGCUGACCCGGGAGGAUCCCAACAGCAGUCAAGCAGAGAAGAGGAGGAUGCGCAGCAAGCAGCAGAGCCCAGCCCAGCCCUUCGCAGCCCAGCCCCGGAUCCAGCGCAGCCCACACCAGCCAGCCCAUCCCACCCGGAGAUCCAGUGCCGCGACCAGGCAGCCUAACAGAGAAGCAUUUUGAAUUUAUUUCUUUCCUUCUGUCUCUUCUCUAUCUUCUUAGCACUUUCCUAAUCUAACACAACUAACCAUCCCCUACCCCUUAACAUUGAUUUUGUUGUAAUUUCCUUGAAUUUGUGUGCUUUGUUUCAUUGUUUUGAAUUUUUACUAAUCUCGUCUCAGUUGUAUAUUUUCAGGCACUCGGACGUGGUACAACGCGGGAGCACUCAGCCAGCCUCCAGCCAGCCAGCCACAGAUGAAGAGGAAGGAGCCCAUUGCCCAGCUUUGUCUAGCGGCUUACAUUUGCCAAGGCGGUGAGUAAAGGGCUGCUUUUGUAGCACAUCUGGAUCCCUGUUUUGCAUUAUAACUUGAUCAGAGCAGCUAUUGCUUUUCUUUUGACCUCCUGAUUUUUUGUGUUUUCAGGAGCGUCGAUCCCACCGAGAGGUUCAGCAGCAUUCUGGGGAACAAGGAUCGACUGCGACCGCACAUGGAAGAGAGGGUAAGAUUCGUGUCCACCCUGAAUUUAC